RNAcentral lists this ribosomal RNA (250 nucleotides) under uncultured Anaerococcus sp. RNAcentral describes it as "partial 16S ribosomal RNA". It matches the Rfam family "Bacterial small subunit ribosomal RNA", at positions 89 to 339 of the family's 1533-position model. The record is from RNAcentral. Lineage: Bacteria; Bacillati; Bacillota; Tissierellia; Tissierellales; Peptoniphilaceae.
GGAUUAGUGGCGGACGGGUGAGUAACGCGUGAGUAACCUGCCUUAGAGAUGGGGAUAGCCUCUGGAAACGGAGAAUAAUACCCAAUGAUACCAAGCUAUCGCAUGGUAGCCUAGUCAAAGAUUUAUCGCUCUAAGAUGGACUUGCGUCUGAUUAGCUAGUUGGUGAGAUAAUGGCUCACCAAGGCAACGAUCAGUAGCCGGCUUGAGAGAGUGUACGGCCACAUUGGGACUGAGACACGGCCCAGACUCC